UACGAAGGGGGCUAGCGUUGCUCGGAAUUACUGGGCGUAAAGGGCGCGUAGGCGGCUCUGUUCGUCAGGCGUGAAAUUCCUGGGCUCAACCUGGGGACUGCGCUUGAUACGGCGGGGCUAGAAUGUGGAAGAGGGUCGUGGAAUUCCCAGUGUAGAGGUGAAAUUCGUAGAUAUUGGGAAGAACACCGGUGGCGAAGGCGGCGACCUGGUCCAUUAUUGACGCUGAGGCGCGACAGCGUGGGGAGCAAACAGG
This 253-nucleotide ribosomal RNA is filed under the name uncultured bacterium. RNAcentral's name for it is "partial 16S ribosomal RNA". It matches the Rfam family "Bacterial small subunit ribosomal RNA", at positions 524 to 776 of the family's 1533-position model. The record is from RNAcentral.